Molecule: ribosomal RNA, 254 nt
Filed under: uncultured bacterium
Lineage: Bacteria
Description: partial 16S ribosomal RNA
Rfam family: Bacterial small subunit ribosomal RNA
Source: RNAcentral
CACGUAGGCACCAAGCGUUGUCCGGAUUUAUUGGGCGUAAAGAGCUCGUAGGCGGUUCAGUAAGUCGGGUGUGAAAACUUUGGGCUCAACCCAAAGCCUGCAUUCGAUACUGCUGUGACUUGAGUUCGGUAGGGGAGCGGGGAAUUCCUAGUGUAGCGGUGAAAUGCGCAGAUAUUAGGAGGAACACCGGUGGCGAAGGCGCCGCUCUGGGCCGAAACUGACGCUGAGGAGCGAAAGCGUGGGUAGCAAACAGG